CUACCAUGCAGUCGAACGGUGAAGCAGAGCUUGCUCUGUGGAUCAGUGGCGAACGGGUGAGUAACACGUGAGCAAUCUGCCCCUGACUCUGGGAUAACAGUUGGAAACAGCUGCUAAUACCGGAUACGAGCUGCGGCCGCAUGGUCGGCAGCUGGAAAGAAUUUCGGUCAGGGAUGAGCUCGCGGCCUAUCAGCUUGUUGGUGAGGUAAUGGCUCACCAAGGCGUCGACGGGUAGCCGGCCUGAGAGGGUGACCGGCCACACUGGGACUGAGACACGGCCCAGACUCCUACGGGAGGCAGCAGUGGGGAAUAUUGCACAAUGGGCGGAAGCCUGAUGCAGCAACGCCGCGUGAGGGAUGACGGCCUUCGGGUUGUAAACCUCUUUUAGCAGGGAAGAAGCGAAAGUGACGGUACCUGCAGAAAAAGCGCCGGCUAACUACGUGCCAGCAGCCGCGGUAAUACGUAGGGCGCAAGCGUUAUCCGGAAUUAUUGGGCGUAAAGAGCUCGUAGGCGGUUUGUCGCGUCUGCUGUGAAAUCCCGAGGCUCAACCUCGGGCCUGCAGUGGGUACGGGCAGACUAGAGUGCGGUAGGGGAGAUUGGAAUUCCUGGUGUAGCGGUGGAAUGCGCAGAUAUCAGGAGGAACACCGAUGGCGAAGGCAGAUCUCUGGGCCGUAACUGACGCUGAGGAGCGAAAGGGUGGGGAGCAAACAGGCUUAGAUACCCUGGUAGUCCACCCCGU
RNAcentral lists this ribosomal RNA (739 nucleotides) under Microbacterium sp. B11-PCA-PT2P21. RNAcentral's name for it is "bacterial SSU rRNA". It matches the Rfam family "Bacterial small subunit ribosomal RNA", at positions 49 to 803 of the family's 1533-position model. The record is from RNAcentral. Lineage: Bacteria; Bacillati; Actinomycetota; Actinomycetes; Micrococcales; Microbacteriaceae.